ACAGGCGUACGGGUGCGUAACACGUAUGCAACCUACCCGUCAUUGGGGGACAACGUUUCGAAAGAGGCGCUAAUACCGCAUAAGAUAGUAGAGUGGCAUCACUUAGCUAUUAAAGAUUUAUUGAUGACGGAUGGGCAUGCGUUAGAUUAGGUAGUUGGUAAGGUAACGGCUUACCAAGCCUACGAUCUAUAGGGGCUCUGAGAGGAGAAUCCCCCACACUGGCACUGAGAUACGGGCCAGACUCCUACGGGAGGCAGCAGUAGGGAAUAUUGGGCAAUGGGCGAAAGCCUGACCCAGCCAUGCCGCGUGCAGGAAGAAUGCCCUCUGGGUUGUAAACUGCUUUUUUAAGGGAAGAAAAAGUUUCUUGCGAGAAACCUUGACGGUACUUUAAGAAUAAGCCACGGCUAACUACGUGCCAGCAGCCGCGGUAAUACGUAGGUGGCGAGCGUUAUCCGGAUUUAUUGGGUUUAAAGGGUGCGUAGGCGGGUAUUUAAGUCGGUGGUGAAAGGUAGCAGCCUAACUGUUUUACAUGCUGCCGAUACUGAAUAUCUUGAGUUAUGAGAAGGCAGAUAGAAUUUCUGGUGUAGCGGUGAAAUGCUUAGAUACCAGGAGGAAUACCGAUUGCGAAGGCAGUCUGCUGCAAAUAUACUGACGCUGAGGCACGAAAGUAUGGGGAUCAAACAGGAUUAGAUACCCUGGU
Molecule: ribosomal RNA, 700 nt
Filed under: uncultured bacterium
Lineage: Bacteria
Description: bacterial SSU rRNA
Rfam family: Bacterial small subunit ribosomal RNA
Source: RNAcentral